GUGCUCGCUUCGGCAGCACAUAUACUAAAAUUGGAACGAUACAGAGAAGAUUAGCGUGGCCCCUGGGCAAGGACGACACGCAAAUUCGCCGAGUGUUCCACAUUUUU
Molecule: small nuclear RNA, 107 nt
Filed under: Physeter macrocephalus (sperm whale)
Lineage: Eukaryota; Metazoa; Chordata; Mammalia; Artiodactyla; Physeteridae
Source: RNAcentral